This 46-nucleotide ribosomal RNA is filed under the name Colletotrichum musae. RNAcentral describes it as "partial 28S ribosomal RNA". The record is from RNAcentral. Lineage: Eukaryota; Fungi; Ascomycota; Sordariomycetes; Glomerellales; Glomerellaceae. RNAcentral also lists the same sequence under 80 other names.
GUUGACCUCGGAUCAGGUAGGAAUACCCGCUGAACUUAAGCAUAUC